RNAcentral lists this unclassified non-coding RNA (757 nucleotides) under Hevea brasiliensis (rubber tree). Lineage: Eukaryota; Viridiplantae; Streptophyta; Magnoliopsida; Malpighiales; Euphorbiaceae. The record is from RNAcentral.
GUUGACCCAAAGGUGGUGAUGCUUCUUUUGACUUUCCACAUCUAGAUAUUUUGCCUAGUUUUUAGUUUCUUCACUUGAGUGUUAUUUGGAAUUUGAGACCACCUAUGAUGCACGUCCUGUGCUCCCAUUGUCAAGUGUGUCUUAUGGAGAAAAGGUCCAUGAUAAAAUUAUUUCACUCUUUUUCUUUAGUGAAAAUUUUGAGCCAUUGCUAGCAGGAUCAAAGUCAUUAUGACUUCUCGCUUGUUGCAGUGCUGUUAUGAUGGUAUCUGUCAGUGAGAGAUAUGUUGGAAACAUUAGACGUUUCCUCUUUGUGUGUGUGCAUAUGUGCAUGCAUCUUUCCCUUGCUAUACUCUUUAUUCUCUCUCUUUCUUUUAUAUGUUUUAUUUUGUUUGACUGUCCAUUUCAAAUAAAUGCAAAGCGGAUCAUGGUCAUUCACUACUUUUAAAGCUUUAAACAUUUGAUCGCCAGUUUUUUUUUAUCUUUCGUAUCUUUUUAUUCUUAACCCCAAUGUAUUGAUUUUGGGUUAUUUAUUAUCUUAUAUAGCUAGAUGCCAUCUCCUCUCUCUCCUUCCUUGUUCACUACUUUUUAAGUAUUGAAUAUUGAUAACCAAUUUUUUCUUUUAAUUUUCUUUUCCUUUCCCCCUGUUUUGAUAUUGGGUUGCUUAUUAUCUUAUUUAGCGGGAUUAAAAUGCUUUAUCUUAAGCUUGUAAUAACUUAUGUGCAUUUAAAUGUUCAGGAUUGUGCUGGAGUCAUACUCU